CAGCCGCCACGGUAAUACAGAGGAUGCGAGCGUUAAUCGGAUUUACUGGGCGUAAAGCGUGCGUAGGCGGCUUCUUAAGUCGGGGGUGAAAUCCCGCAGCUCAACUGCGGAACUGCCUUUGAUACUGGGUAUCUUGAGUAUGGAAGAGGUUAGUGGAAUUGCGAGUGUAGAGGUGAAAUUCGUAGAUAUUCGCAGGAACACCAGUGGCGAAGGCGGCUAACUGGUCCAUAACUGACGCUGAGGUGCGAAAGCGUGGGGAGCAAACAGGAUUAGAUACCCCUGUAGUCCCUGUCUCUUAUAC
This 301-nucleotide ribosomal RNA is filed under the name uncultured bacterium. RNAcentral's name for it is "partial 16S ribosomal RNA". It matches the Rfam family "Bacterial small subunit ribosomal RNA", at positions 509 to 807 of the family's 1533-position model. The record is from RNAcentral.